Molecule: ribosomal RNA, 484 nt
Filed under: uncultured bacterium
Lineage: Bacteria
Description: partial 16S ribosomal RNA
Rfam family: Bacterial small subunit ribosomal RNA
Source: RNAcentral
AUUGAACGCUGGCGGCAGGCCUAACACAUGCAAGUCGAGCGGUAGAGCGAAGCUUGCUUCUCUUGAGAGCGGCGGACGGGUGAGUAAUGCCUAGGAAUCUGCCUGGUAGUGGGGGAUAACGUUCGGAAACGGACGCUAAUACCGCAUACGUCCUACGGGAGAAAGCAGGGGACCUUCGGGCAUUGCGCUAUCAGAUGAGCCUAGGUCGGAUUAGCUAGUUGGUGGGGUAAUGGCUCACCAAGGCGACGAUCCGUAACUGGUCUGAGAGGAUGAUCAGUCACACUGGAACUGAGACACGGUCCAGACUCCUACGGGAGGCAGCAGUGGGGAAUAUUGGACAAUGGGCGAAAGCCUGAUCCAGCCAUGCCGCGUGUGUGAAGAAGGUCUUCGGAUUGUAAAGCACUUUAAGUUGGGAGGAAGGGCAGUAAAUUAAUACUUUGCUGUUUUGACGUUACCGACAGAAUAAGCACCGGCUAACUCGGUG